UCCGAAUUGGUGUAGUGGUUAACAUUUAGCACUCUCACUGCUAAGCCCGGGGUUCGAUUCCCCGAUUCGGAG
Non-coding RNA from Xylariaceae sp. FL1272, 72 nucleotides. Lineage: Eukaryota; Fungi; Ascomycota; Sordariomycetes; Xylariales; Xylariaceae. The record is from the annotation of a GenBank genome assembly.